UGACUGAUUCUUUCUACAGAGAGGCUUACGUCAAGGUCAUCCCCUUAGCCCUUAUUUAUUUUUUAUUUGUUCUAAAGUAUUUGCCGCUUUGCUGCAUUUGGCUAGGACUAAUAGGUCGUUGAAAGAGACGUAGAUUUACAGAGAAGGCUCGAGUUUGACAGUUUUUUUUGCAGAUGAUAGUUUAUAUUUGGAGAAGCGUCGCCGAUGAGCAUUUCAGUGGUUCGAUCCAUAAUUCAGAAUACGAAUCUCUAUCAAUGUAGCAGGUAAAUUUUGAUAAGUCAGAUUUUUUUCGUAGUAAUGUUUCGGAAAGUUAAUGCCAACUUGAUCAUCCAAACUUUAGGGGUUUGAGAACGUUUAACCUUGAGAGGUAUUCGUGCUUCCUAAAUCAUACCUACAUACCUUAUUCUUUUACCGCGGAGGCCACAGCUGUUAUUCAUGCAUUAUGGUUUGUAGAGAAUUUAGGCUUUGCAUACGUUGAGAUUGAAGGAGAUCUAUUUACGAAGCUAAGGCAUUGGCUACAAGAUUCACACAACGCUAGUUCAGAUUUAUUCAGAGAGAAGGUCAUAUACCUGCGCACAGUUUAGCUCAUGAAGGAAUCCAUCCAGGCGUUGAUAACUUUUGGGUAGAGAGAGCUCUGAUGUCGGUUAUGGCCACUACUGAGAAAGAUAGGUGGUGGGUGGAUCCACCGAACUAACUUUUGCUGCUAAUCGAUAUUUGCUGGGCUGGUUUAACAUUUUCAGAAUUUUUGCCCAGAUUUUAGCUUUUGAGAUAGCUGUUAGGUUCUUUUGAAACUUAAAAGCUUAGGUUGAACUUUAUGCUUGCUAGGAAGAUAGAUGUCGUUAUUUUUGUGUUUUCUUUUAACUUUUCUAUUGCAAUUUUUUGAACGUUUUUUCCGAGACAGCUUAGCUAUCCUCCAUCGAUAUUGUUCUCUGGUUUUUUUUGCCUAUUUUCCUUAAUAAAGUGUAGCCUUUAAAAAGUAUUUUUUCCGUGAUUAUGUGAGUUCAUAAAUUGAGUUUGUAUAAG
This 1023-nucleotide long non-coding RNA is filed under the name Gossypium barbadense (sea-island cotton). Its description in RNAcentral is "long non-coding RNA (GBAR_LNC000283)". The record is from RNAcentral. Lineage: Eukaryota; Viridiplantae; Streptophyta; Magnoliopsida; Malvales; Malvaceae.